RNAcentral lists this ribosomal RNA (425 nucleotides) under uncultured Heliobacillus sp. RNAcentral describes it as "bacterial SSU rRNA". It matches the Rfam family "Bacterial small subunit ribosomal RNA", at positions 355 to 795 of the family's 1533-position model. The record is from RNAcentral. Lineage: Bacteria; Bacillati; Bacillota; Clostridia; Eubacteriales; Heliobacteriaceae.
UGGGGAUUUUUCCGCAAUGGGCGAAAGCCUGACGGAGCAACGCCGCGUGUGGGAUGACGCUUUUCGGAGUGUAAACCACUGUUCCUGGGGACGAAGCACUGACGGUACCCAGGGAGGAAGGCCCGGCUAACUACGUGCCAGCAGCCGCGGUAAUACGUAGGGGUCGAGCGUUGUCCGGAGUUACUGGGCGUAAAGCGCGCGCAGGUGGCUCAUUACGCCCGGCGUGAAAGCCCCCAGCCUAACCGGGGAAGGUCGUCGGGUACGGGUGAGCUUGAGGGUAUCAGGGGCUGGUGGAAUUCCCGGUGUAGUGGUGAAAUGCGUAGAGAUCGGGAGGAACACCCGUGGCGAAGGCGGCCAGCUGGGAUACACCUGACACUGAGGCGCGAAGGCGUGGGGAGCGAAAGGGAUUAGAUACCCCUGUAGUC